AGUGAACGCUGGCGGUAGGCCUAACACAUGCAAGUCGAACGGCCGCACAGUAAGAGCUUGCUCUUACGGGUGGCGAGUGGCGGACGGGUGAGGAAUACAUCGGAAUCUACUUUUUCGUGGGGGAUAACGUGGGAAAACUUCCGCUAAUACCUAAUACGACCAACGGCUGAAAGCAGGAGUGCUUGGACCUUUUGCCGUUUGAUUUAGCCGGUGCCGGGUUGCCUAAUUGGGGGGGUAAAGGCCCCCCAAGGCGACGCACCGAGGCUGGUCUGAGAGGAUGAUCAGCCACACUGGAAAUGAGACACGGUCCAGACUCCUAAGGGAGGCAGCAGUGGGGAAUAUUGGACAAUGGGCGCAAGCCUGAUCCAGCCAUACCGCGUGGGUGAAGAAGGCCUUCGGGUUGGAAAGCCCUUUUGUUGGGAAAGAAAAGCAGCAGGUUAAUACCCCGCUGUUCUGACGGUACCCAAAGAAUAAGCACCGGCUAACUUCGUG
Molecule: ribosomal RNA, 492 nt
Filed under: uncultured bacterium
Lineage: Bacteria
Description: partial 16S ribosomal RNA
Rfam family: Bacterial small subunit ribosomal RNA
Source: RNAcentral